Molecule: non-coding RNA, 55 nt
Organism: Caenorhabditis japonica
Lineage: Eukaryota; Metazoa; Nematoda; Chromadorea; Rhabditida; Rhabditidae
Source: Rfam
GUGAAUGGAUAACGCGUCUGCCUACGGAGCAGAAGAUUGCAGGUUCGAAUCCUGC